This 314-nucleotide unclassified non-coding RNA is filed under the name plant metagenome. RNAcentral's name for it is "partial contains 5.8S ribosomal RNA, internal transcribed spacer 2, and large subunit ribosomal RNA". The stretch from base 1 to 105 matches the Rfam family "5.8S ribosomal RNA", at positions 50 to 154 of the family's 154-position model. The record is from RNAcentral.
GAAAUGCGAUAAUUAAUGUGAAUUGCAGAAUUCAGUGAAUCAUCGAGUCUUUGAACGCACAUUGCGCCCCCUGGUAUUCCGGGGGGCAUGCCUGUCCGAGCGUCAUUGCUGCCCUCAAGCACGGCUUGUGGGUUGGGCUUCCGUCCCUGGCAACGGGGACGGGCCCAAAAGGCAGUGGCGGCACCAUGUCUGGUCCUCGAGCGUAUGGGGCUUUGUCACCCGCUCCCGUAGGUCCAGCUGGCAGCUAGCCUCGCAACCCAUCUUUUUAACCAGGUUGACCUCGGAUCAGGUAGGGAUACCCGCUGAACUUAAGC